RNAcentral lists this ribosomal RNA (276 nucleotides) under uncultured bacterium. Its description in RNAcentral is "partial 16S ribosomal RNA". It matches the Rfam family "Bacterial small subunit ribosomal RNA", at positions 523 to 796 of the family's 1533-position model. The record is from RNAcentral.
AGACGUAUGGGGCGCAAGCGUUAUCCGGAUUCACUGGGCGUAAAGGGUCCGCAGGCGGUCGGCUAAGUCCUUUGUCAAAGCCCCCGGCUCAACCGGGGAGAGGCAGAGGAUACUGGUCGACUAGACCCACUUCGGAGCCAGUGGAACUUCCCAUGUAGGGGUGAAAUCCGUGGAUAUGGGAAGGAACACCGAGGGCGAAGGCGGCUGGCUAGGAGUGUGGUGACGCUCAGGGACGAAAGCUAGGGGAGCAAACCGGAUUAGAUACCCUAGUAGUCC